UAACCCUACUUGUGAGAGUAGGCUGAACUUACAGAAGUCAGCAGACGCCAUAGUACGCAGGUUGUUGCAACGAUCUGCGGAAGGGC
Molecule: non-coding RNA, 86 nt
Organism: Paenibacillus sp. IHBB 10380
Lineage: Bacteria; Bacillati; Bacillota; Bacilli; Caryophanales; Paenibacillaceae
Source: Rfam